CGAACGGGUGAGUAACACGUGGGCAACCUGCCCAAAAGAGGGGGAUAACACCUGGAAACAGGUGCUAAUACCGCAUAACCAUAGUUACCGCAUGGUAACUAUGUAAAAGGUGGCUAUGCUACCGCUUUUGGAUGGGCCCGCGGCGCAUUAGCUAGUUGGUGGGGUAAAGGCUUACCAAGGCAAUGAUGCGUAGCCGAACUGAGAGGUUGAUCGGCCACAUUGGGACUGAGACACGGCCCAAACUCCUACGGGAGGCAGCAG
This 261-nucleotide ribosomal RNA is filed under the name uncultured bacterium. RNAcentral describes it as "partial 16S ribosomal RNA". It matches the Rfam family "Bacterial small subunit ribosomal RNA", at positions 99 to 354 of the family's 1533-position model. The record is from RNAcentral.